UACAGAGGGGGCGAUCGUUGUUCGGAAUUACUGGGCGUAAAGGGCGCGUAGGCGGCCCGCUAAGUCGAACGUGAAAUCCCCAGGCUCAACCUGGGAACUGCGUCCGAUACUGGCAGGCUUGAAUCCGGGAGAGGGAUGUGGAAUUCCAGGUGUAGCGGUGAAAUGCGUAGAUAUCUGGAGGAACACCGGUGGCGAAGGCGGCAUCCUGGACCGGUAUUGACGCUGAGGCGCGAAAGCUAGGGGAGCAAACGGG
RNAcentral lists this ribosomal RNA (253 nucleotides) under uncultured bacterium. RNAcentral's name for it is "partial 16S ribosomal RNA". It matches the Rfam family "Bacterial small subunit ribosomal RNA", at positions 524 to 776 of the family's 1533-position model. The record is from RNAcentral.